UUAAUCCAUGUGUUUCUUCAGUGAUUAGACCAGGGAUCAUGCGGCGGUGACCACAGACGGGAAUUUUUUCCGAUGAGAAGGAUACAAAUGCUUGAGGAUGCAAAAGAGGACGCUGAAAAGUGCCUGGAUUCAGUCCUCGGCUUGUAGGAGGCGAUGGCUAAAAAAAAUACAGGAGAGCCCUUAAAGAUCCAUCCCUAGAAGUCCACCACCACCUCAUCACUGCUUUGCCCUUCACCGCUUCGUCUCGGAUCUCUAAGCGCAUGCUGCUGCCUAGAUGUGAAUGGUGAACAACAUCGUUCUAUGGUGUGUGCAGUGCGCAUCCUCCAGUCUGAAAGCGAUCCAGGUAAGCUACUUACAAGCAUUAUUUCUUAAGUAUAAAGUACAUGCCUUGCAAUCUCAUUAUUAAUGGUUUAUUUCACCCUUUCAAUCUUUGGAACAAAUUCGAUCAUGUCCGCAUCUGCACUUGGGUGAAUGGCCUGGAGCACUUGACCUUGAUCUAAAUAAAUAAGUGAGAUUUGUUGUUAGUUCUUUGUUAGGAUUUUACAUGUUUUUCUGCUCCAGCUCGCUCCUAGAUUUUGGAAAUUCGUACACAGUCCUACGUUGGGAUGUAAACCAGGUUGAUCCUGCCGCUUGGCCCCAAAUUAAGGUUGUCCGUAUUGAUUCUGGAGACACUUGCGCCGCCGUUUCUGCUAUGCCUGCGCCGCGGAGGAGUAAGGCACCGAAGGAGCAAAAAUCCCUUGAGGUGAUUCCCACUCCCGAAGAAACAUCGACGUGAGGCUUGUAUGCCGUGCAGGCUGUGGAUUGGGCUCCCUCUGUACGGGCCUACGAGUCGUCUAACCC
This is a non-coding RNA of Lolium perenne, 840 nucleotides long. NCBI's taxonomy places the organism in Eukaryota, Viridiplantae, Streptophyta, Magnoliopsida, Poales, Poaceae. The record is from RefSeq and is a predicted model, not a curated record.